GAUGAACGCUGGCGGCGUGCCUAACACAUGCAAGUCGAACGGAGUCCCGUCUUUUAGACCUUCGGGUCAAUUCGGUGAAGUCUGAGUGGCGGACGGGGAAUUAACCCGUGGGCAACCUGGUUAAUCGAGGGGGAAAACAGCAAGAAAUGUCUGCUAAUACCGCAUAAGCACACACUACCGCAUGCCCAGGGGUGAAAACAGCAUCGCUAUGAGAUGGACCCGCGUCUGAUUAGCCAGUUGGCAGGGUAAGAGCCCACCAAGGCGACGAUCAGUAGCCGAUCUGAGAGGAUGAACGGCCACAUUGGGACUGAGACACGGCCCAAACUCCUACGGGAAGCAGCAGUGGGGGAUAUUGCACAAUGGGGGGAACCCUGAUGCAGCGACGCCGCGUGAGUGAAGAAGUAUUUCGGUAUGUAAAGCUCUAUCAGCAGGGAAGAUAAUGACGGUACCUGAAUAAGAAGCCCCGGCUAACUACGUG
Molecule: ribosomal RNA, 478 nt
Filed under: uncultured bacterium
Lineage: Bacteria
Description: partial 16S ribosomal RNA
Rfam family: Bacterial small subunit ribosomal RNA
Source: RNAcentral